AUGGUUAUUGUUUGUUUUUCAUGCCCAUUGGUAUUCCAAGAGUAUCUGUUAUUAUAUUCAAAUUCAUGCUCAGAUAGAAAAUCUCAUGAAAAUGGAAUUCUCCUCCUAGGUGUUCUGUAUGCGCCCGUAUUGCAGGACGACUUCUACCUCAACUUCGUGGAUUGGUCUUCGCACAAUGUCCUCUCGGCCGGAUCGGGGAAUUGCGUCUACCCGUGGAAUGCAGCAACAAGGUCACCAAGCUCUACGAUUUGGGGGCGGGCCACACUGUUUAUUAGUUGGGCGCAAUGUGGCACCCACCUAUCUGUAGGUACUAACCAAGGCACCGUUCAGGUUUUCAUGUUGCUCCCGUCUGAAAUUGAUCAAAUGGCAUGUUCGGGGUCCAUCAAAGUUUAG
This 393-nucleotide ribosomal RNA is filed under the name Triticum aestivum (bread wheat). RNAcentral's name for it is "partial small subunit ribosomal RNA". The record is from RNAcentral. Lineage: Eukaryota; Viridiplantae; Streptophyta; Magnoliopsida; Poales; Poaceae.